RNAcentral lists this ribosomal RNA (1312 nucleotides) under metagenome. RNAcentral describes it as "bacterial LSU rRNA". It matches the Rfam family "Bacterial large subunit ribosomal RNA", at positions 1163 to 2491 of the family's 2925-position model. The record is from RNAcentral.
AUGGAUAAUAAUCGGGCAUAAACAUAUUACCGAAGCUAUGGAUUUGACAUUAAGUUGUCAAGUGGUAGGGGAGCAUUCUAACAGGGUAGAAGGUGUGUUGUAAAGCAUGCUGGACUGGUUAGAAAAGAAAAUGUAGGCAUAAGUAACGAUAAUGCGGGCGAGAAACCCGCACACCGAAAGACUAAGGUUUCCACAGCUAUGCUAAUCAGCUGUGGGUUAGUCGGGACCUAAGGCGAACCCGAAAGGGACAGUCGAUGGACAACGGGUUAAUAUUCCCGUACUACUAAUUACUGUGAUGGGGUGACGGAGUGAUGAAAGCGCCGCGAACUGACGGAAUAGUUCGUUGAAGUACCUACCUAUAAGCUGCGCAGGCAAAUCCACGCGGCUUGGGGAAAUACGAUAGUACUCGGAGUCUUCGGACAAAGAGAUAGUGCGCCUAAGGGCUUCCAAGAAAAACCUCUAAACUUCAGGUAAUUAGUACCCGUACCGCAAACCGACACAGGUAGUCGAGGAGAGAAUCCUAAGGUGCUCGAGAGAUUCAUGGCUAAGGAAUUAGGCAAAAUAGACCCGUAACUUCGGGAGAAGGGUCGCCAGCAGCAAUGCUGGCCGCAGUGAAGAGGUCCAGGCGACUGUUUAUCAAAAACACAGGGCUCUGCAAAAUCGUAAGAUGAAGUAUAGGGCCUGACACCUGCCCGGUGCUGGAAGGUUAAGAGGAGAUGUUAUCUUCGGAGAAGCAUUGAAUUGAAGCCCCAGUAAACGGCGGCCGUAACUAUAACGGUCCUAAGGUAGCGAAAUUCCUUGUCGGGUAAGUUCCGACCUGCACGAAUGGUGUAACGAUCUGGACACUGUCUCAGCCAUGAGCUCGGUGAAAUUGUAGUAACGGUGAAGAUGCCGUUUACCCGCAGUGGGACGAAAAGACCCUGUGCACCUUUACUAUAGCUUAGUAUUGACUUUGGAUAAAUGAUGUGUAGGAUAGGUUGGAGACUGUGAAGUGGCGUCGCUAGGCGUUGUGGAGUCAUUGUUGAAAUACAACCCUUUGUUUAUCUGAAGCCUAACCCCGUUUUGCGGGGGACAUUGCUUGGUGGGUAGUUUGACUGGGGUGGUCGCCUCCAAAAGAGUAACGGAGGCUUCUAAAGGUUCCCUCAGUACGCUUGGUAACCGUGCGUAGAGUGCAAUGGCAUAAGGGAGCUUGACUGAGAGACAUACAGGUCGAUCAGGUACGAAAGUAGAGCAUAGUGAUCCGGUGGUUCCGCAUGGAAGGGCCAUCGCUCAAAGGAUAAAAGGCACGCCGGGGAUAACAGGCUGAUCUCCC